AAGGUGUAUAUCUAUUUUGCUGAGUUUAAAAAGCUCGUAGUUGGAUCUGCGUGUUCAGCAUCCGGUGCGGUCUUUGGCCGCUACUGGAGUGCGACACAUCGAAUACUGGUUUGCCGUUGAUGCUCUUCAUCGGGUGUCAGCGGUGGCUGGUGAGUUUACUUUGAACAAAUUAGAGUGCUCAACGCAGGCGUUUCGCUUGUAUAUUUCUGCAUGGAAUAAUAGAAUAGGACCUCGGUUCUAUUUUGUUGGUUUUCGGAAGUGAGGUAAUGAUUAAGAGGGACUGACGGGGGCAUUCGUACUGCGACGUGAGAGGUGAAAUUCUUGGAUCGUCGCAAGACGCACUACUG
This 347-nucleotide ribosomal RNA is filed under the name uncultured eukaryote. Its description in RNAcentral is "SSU rRNA". It matches the Rfam family "Eukaryotic small subunit ribosomal RNA", at positions 594 to 945 of the family's 1831-position model. The record is from RNAcentral.